CCCUUUUUUUAUCUCCAUGUACUUUGCAGACCUUCCUUCCUCCUCUUGCUAUCUCUCGCUGAGUUUUCAGCAGAAUUUAUUGUCCCUUUUACUCCUUCCGAUUUUAGACUUUAAGAAUGGAGUUUGGACGGUUGUCUUUUUUUCUGAGCAGUCAGGCUCGGGAUUCAUUUCUUCCUACUGUUUCAUGACCUCUUUCGUGAUCUCUAAUGUCGGCACUUUCUUCAUGGAGAUGACUGUUUCCCUAUGGUCGCUGAAUUUUCCGGUUAGAUUCUUCAUUCGCUCCAUGGCAACAUUUCUUGGUGUGUCUUCUUCACCUGCUGUGUGUCUCUUCUCCCCAACCCCUUCCCCCCUCCCCGCCCUUCCUUUAUUUCUUGUCCCUGCUUUGUAUAGAUUACUCAUCAUCGAAGCAGGCGAUUUUUUUAUCCCUCCCUUGAACCUCCUGCAGGAGAACGGCCAGGGUUGUCUUCCAGAUGAUUUCCCGUAAAAGAAAGGGGCGUUGCCAACUUGACACCAUCUUGGAAACAGAAGUUCUCAGAUGACAAAGAUCGGUUGGCUGUGGCCUGUGGCACAGACGGGAGGCAAAAAGAUCGGAGCUUUCCACCCAGUUCUGGGCCACAUCUGCUCGGGCUGGGCCCUUGGGGAAGGCCAUGGAGGAGCCCUAAUGGGGCGGUGAGCAGCCCACCACUUCCCUGGAAGGUCCCCUGCAGAUGUCUGGACGAAACUCAGGACUGCUGGAAAUGUCUGAGAAGACCCUAAGGCGGUCAGGAGCCGAGUUCUUUGUCAUCCCCCAAUUCCUGUCCUACUAAUCACGUCUCCAUCAUGAUAAGACCUGAAAAUAGGGUUUGCAAAAUUAAAACACCUGGGCACAAAAUGCUCUGUAAAACCAUUGAUAGCUCAGCACUUCCUGCCAAGUCUUGGUGGGGGCGGAUACGAGCCACCUACUGGAGGUCGUAGAGUCUACUGCCCACCUUCAGAAAGGCGUUCUAGAACAUCUAAAGUACACAGACUGAACAGAGAGCUUCCCUAGGGUUCCACGGAGAAAAAUAAAAUCUGAUUUUUUUUUCUUUAAUCAGAAUGAAUCAAGUCCUGGACAUUUCCUUUGUUUUUUUUCCUUUAAUGUUCACUCGGGGUUGAGAACUGAGAGCUACCUAGUCCCAGAGAUGGUCAGAGCUCAAAAUUUGGAAUUUGCUGGCUGCAGUCCUGUUCAUUCCCAUCCAGAAAUACAGCUGUCUGCCUGUGUCCAAGACAAAACGUCCUUGCUUCUACUCCCUGGGGACAGAUUGAUGGCUACUGACACCGUCUCCCAGCCUGUCCAGGGGCUGACGGAGGGCCCUGUCCAGCAGGAGCAAGAUCAGAGAGAGUCUUUGUCUGCAAAAGGCUCGAGACCUCAGAGAGAAAACCAAAGUCUGUCUCCACAUCUGUGUGUUGCCACCAGCUGGCCAUCUCUGCCAAGGCCCAGAAGAGGACAGCCAAUAUUUGGAACCCACCGACCAGCGCCUCCAGCCAGCCACUUCCUCUCACAGUGUCUAGAUGCAGGUGAACUCCCAGCAUCCCCGCCGAAGCUCCCUUGGCCGAAGUGCGUAAUUGGAGAGCUGCACAAUUUGUUUGCAGAGGAGACCUGGCUGCACCUGCACCUCCCAGGGCGCACAGGUCCCCGUGCAGAGGCCCCGACCAGGGCCAGGAGACCCGGCCACAGCCUGCGGCCUGCCCAGGGACACAGCCACCACGGGCGACAGCUGAAGCUAACUCUGCUUCCCCCCAAGGGAGCCCAGGGGCAUCCAGGGCCUACUUUGCUGUGCGACUUGCGCCGUCUGCUCAACCCCCAGGACAUUGCUGGGAGUUUAGAAAUGGCCGUGCACUUCUCUCUCCUCGCCUUUCCAAACAUCUACCAAAUGUCUGCUAUGAGUCUGCCCAAGGUCCAGGGGCUGGGGACCAAGUGAUAAAUACACCAGUUCCCUGUCUGUAGGAGAGACACUCAGCCCUUGAGCCAUCAGAGUCCCACAGAGCCAGCCCCAAAGUGGAGGAAAGACACAGGCCUCCCAGAUGGCGGGGCCCGAGCCGGGUGGGAGCACCGAGGGGCUCAGGUGCACACCCCCUCCUCCUGCUCCAGGUAGGUUGGAGUGGAGGCAGGGAGGCCGCAGUCCGAGGCCAGACUCCAGAUUCAGGACGAACCCUCAACCCACGCCCCCUGCGCGUCAACCUGCCUAGAGAAUAGUCUGGCCAAAAUUUCUCCGCGCCAGAGUGAACACACGCAUGCGCAUACGUCCCCUGCGCCGCCCCCUCCCACCGCCCCCCAGGGCUGCGGGCCUGGCUCCCCGGAUCCUCUGGCCACGGUCCUGCCCCGCCUUCCGUGAGCAGGUUCCCCUUCACACCGAGCUGAGCAUCACCCGAUGCCAAACAGAUGGCAGGAAGAGCGCUCGCUCUGAGGGUCUCGGCCCCAAGGUCACUGCUGACACGUGAAGGCUGGACAGCAAGGCAGGGAGAAAUUGAUGAAUGGCUUCCUCCUCCUCCCGGUGCUCAGUCGGGGCCUUUUCCUGCCCAGCCGCCCGCGCUCCGCUGCUGCGCAAAUUCCAACCUCGGACAAGUUUACGCUGAGACCAAGAUGUAAUGAGACGAAGCAAAGGCCACCUCAUAAUUUUGUUCAAGCUUGGACAAAACAAGAUCAGUCCGUCACCCACCAAGUCCCAGGUACCCCCGCCCUUGGCCACGGUGUGUGCCUGGUGUUCUUUGGCUGGAGACCACUGAGAGAACUGGAGUUUCCACCAAGACUCAGCUGAUACCUUCAUCGCCUUGGACCAGGACCCUCACUCAACUCAGUAACUGUGCGCACAUCUUCUAGGGGGUGGGCACUAGGUCCUGGUAUUUUUUUUUUUAAAGCUCCCUAGGUGAUGAGAAGGUGCAUCCUGGGUUUUGAGGGAUGGGGUGACAAGUCACUUUAGGACACCAUAGAGCCAAAGGGCAAUGCCUGUAAAGCACUGAGCUCGGUCCUUGCCCAUGGUACUCAGUUACUGUGACCUGUCAUCUCUUUGCGGCUGUGCCUUCUUCAUUUUGCUGUCCCUCUCAAUAAACGUCUGCUGGAUGAGCAUCGAUGCUGCUGAUGGCUGGAUACGAAUCACAUCAAGUGUAAUACAUCUCAAAUCGCGAUGCCAUCUUUCUCCCCAGACCAUCUUUCCCUUUGCCUUACUGCUGUCCCUGUCACCAAAGGUGGUGUCUGGAGCUGGAGGCUCAGACCCAUCCCGAUGCCCUGUCCACCCCUCCACACAGGCUCUCUUGGCACCCCCUUUCUUUCCGAUCUCACCGACAUCCCCAGUUCAGACCCCAAAGAUCCCACGGUGGCUUGGGUUCUCAGGCUUCCCUCUGGUCUUCUUCUCUCCGCAGUUCAUAAUGUCCAAGGCAGCUCUUUCCAGAGCCUGGCCUGACUGUGACACCCUCAGCUCAGACACCCUGCAUGGAUCCUCAUCCCCUCCGAAUGAAAUUGUCUCAACAGGCAAGGCCUUCCAUAAGCCAGCCCCGCCCCACACACGGAUCACACGCAAGUGUUCUUCUCAUUAGCCCCACGGACAUUCUCCGUGUCUCCAAGUCACUGUGCUUUGCUUAUGCUGAUCCUGCCGCCUGGAAUGCCCUUCCCGCCACUACAGCUCUAUCAAUCCUGUUUAUUCAAAUUCCAGUUCAAAUGCUAUUUCCUCCAUCCCUGCUCACCCCAGCCAAAAGGGACUACUACCCCUUUAUAAACUCUUAAAACCGUCUUCCUUUUUUGAUGCACUUGUGACCCUUUAUCAAACACUGAUCUGAAUUGUGAUUA
Molecule: long non-coding RNA, 3802 nt
Organism: Ailuropoda melanoleuca (giant panda)
Lineage: Eukaryota; Metazoa; Chordata; Mammalia; Carnivora; Ursidae
Exons: 10
Source: RefSeq, a predicted model, not a curated record